This 320-nucleotide unclassified non-coding RNA is filed under the name Hevea brasiliensis (rubber tree). The record is from RNAcentral. Lineage: Eukaryota; Viridiplantae; Streptophyta; Magnoliopsida; Malpighiales; Euphorbiaceae.
AAAUGUUUCAAACUUUAACAAAACCUAAUCCUCAUAUACAUAAUACAGCAAUGUGACACGAUAAACAAAUCCUUCGCUGUACUAUAUGAGGAAAACAAAUGAUGGGGUGAUCUCCCCAGAAAAUAAAGCAUGUAUGUACUUCAAGAUCAUAGUACAAAAUUUAUUUGAUAUAAAGUAAGAUCCUAAUCCAUCUAAUCACCGUAAAAACUUGUGUCUAUCACAAUAAAUGCCACCCAUUUGCCAUUUUCGAGGAAAUAAAAUAAUUACCCAGCAGAAGAAUAUUAAGGUGCUAAAAGCAAUAAAUUCCAAGAAAUCUCAAA